Molecule: non-coding RNA, 29 nt
Filed under: Rattus norvegicus (Norway rat)
Lineage: Eukaryota; Metazoa; Chordata; Mammalia; Rodentia; Muridae
Source: RNAcentral
UGACACCCUGAUUACCUCUUCACGAUGUU